AGCGAACGCUGGCGGCAGGCUUAACACAUGCAAGUCGAGCGGGCAUAGCAAUAUGUCAGCGGCAGACGGGUGAGUAACGCGUGGGAACGUACCUUUUGGUUCGGAACAACACAGGGAAACUUGUGCUAAUACCGGAUAAGCCCUUACGGGGAAAGAUUUAUCGCCGAAAGAUCGGCCCGCGUCUGAUUAGCUAGUUGGUGAGGUAAUGGCUCACCAAGGCGACGAUCAGUAGCUGGUCUGAGAGGAUGAUCAGCCACAUUGGGACUGAGACACGGCCCAAACUCCUACGGGAGGCAGCAGUGGGGAAUAUUGGACAAUGGGCGCAAGCCUGAUCCAGCCAUGCCGCGUGAGUGAUGAAGGCCCUAGGGUUGUAAAGCUCUUUUGUGCGGGAAGAUAAUGACGGUACCGCAAGGAUAAGCCCCGGCUAACUUCGUGC
This 436-nucleotide ribosomal RNA is filed under the name uncultured Alphaproteobacteria bacterium. RNAcentral describes it as "bacterial SSU rRNA". It matches the Rfam family "Bacterial small subunit ribosomal RNA", at positions 29 to 508 of the family's 1533-position model. Lineage: Bacteria; Pseudomonadati; Pseudomonadota; Alphaproteobacteria. The record is from RNAcentral.